CUAGAGAACCCCAACUCCAUGCCAGAACACACACAAACACACACACACACACACACAUACACACACUUACCGAAACACACACACUGUUCCAUUGCUGAUCCCAUAGGAUAGAUACACCCAAAUGAUUUAUUACUAGGACCUGGAGACGUGUGUGUGUGUUUUCAAUUGUGUGUACAGUGAGCUCCAAAAGUAUUGGGUGGUGUCCUCCCAUCAGAAACACUCUGAGAGCAGCUUGACAGCACAGGACGGAAGGAGGGAGGGAGAGAGAGAGAGAGAGAGAGAGAGAGAGAGCCGACCAUCUGUGAAUCACAUCAAGGCAGCUGUGGUUAGAGUGGACUGCAGUUAUUUUACGAACGAGAGGCAGAGAGGGGGAUAGAAGUGGAGAGAAGGAGAGGGGAUAGAAGUGGAGAGAAGGAGGGGG
Long non-coding RNA from Oncorhynchus tshawytscha (Chinook salmon), 421 nucleotides. NCBI's taxonomy places the organism in Eukaryota, Metazoa, Chordata, Actinopteri, Salmoniformes, Salmonidae. The record is from Ensembl.